UUGUGUAUGGUCCAGAUAUCACCAAGCACCCAAGUAUAAAUAAGUCUUACAACUCCCUAACGGAAACUUAAUGACUCAACUUAAGUUGCAUACUGACUUAGGAUUUGGGCUGACUUAGUGAUUAAAACUUUGUGUGCUUUUGAAAUUUUUAGCACCUAUGCAUUUGAAAUUAGAUUUUAUAAAAUAAUAAAAUAAAUUCUUUCGACAGUAGUUUGUGGGUAUCUGAGCCGGAAACCCUCACAAGACAAAACUCGUCCACUAGGGCCACCUAGGGGUUUAAAGCCUUAUUGCAUACGGUAAAUGCAAUCGCGAUUCCUGCGAAAGUGAGUUAGUUUUUAUUUUGCUUGAGGACUAGCAAGAUGUAGGUUGGGGGGUGUGAUAAGUGCUAAAUAAUGCAUAAAUUCAUAUAUUAUUCAUAGCACUUAUCAUUAUUUUAAUUCA
This 441-nucleotide long non-coding RNA is filed under the name Phoenix dactylifera (date palm). RNAcentral's name for it is "long non-coding RNA (PDAC_LNC012418)". Lineage: Eukaryota; Viridiplantae; Streptophyta; Magnoliopsida; Arecales; Arecaceae. The record is from RNAcentral.